Long non-coding RNA from Scleropages formosus (Asian bonytongue), 1771 nucleotides. RefSeq lists it as uncharacterized. The transcript is spliced from 4 exons. NCBI's taxonomy places the organism in Eukaryota, Metazoa, Chordata, Actinopteri, Osteoglossiformes, Osteoglossidae. The record is from RefSeq and is a predicted model, not a curated record.
UCGGACCACAAAGAAAAUAGUUCUUGUAUGAAAAUAUCUAUUUAAAGGACGUUUAUUGAGGUUGAUUAAUGAUUGACGUGUCAGCUUACCGGAAGAGGCGGAGCUAAACCAGGAAGAACGCCUGGUCGGCCAACCAGUACAAGUUGUGCGGCACUUUCAUAAAUAGAAGCUGUACCGUCUUUUUUCACUUCGUUAGAAAUAUGUUGUUCGUUUCCCCUGAUUUUCACAAACUAGUGAAGUUCGUUUGAAACACCCGGUUUUUGUUUCUGGUUAAUUUUUGCUGUUGCGGCUCCUGAAUGAAACACCUGGUUAUGUUCUCAUUUAAUUAGUUAGUUUGUCGUUGUUGCGACUCGACUCGGCUGCCUCGCAGUUUGGACUGACGAUGUGCAAAUGUUUGUAACAGUUUUUGUUUUGGUGAUUAUUAUAGUCUCACUGAGGUUUUAGCCUCACUUCUUACCAGUGAUAUUACUGGAAUAUUUGGCUCAUAAAAAUAACUAAGUUAACAUCGCACGCACUGUGUGUCUCUUACUUGAGGAGGCCUGUCCUAGAUACCCUACUUACACAUCCACCAUGGCAUGCAUCAGUGGAACACACUCUCUCUGUCACUCACACGCUAUGGAUGAACCUGGACCAGGGUUACAAGAGUAGUCAGCUACGAAACCGGAAGUGCUCUUUAAAUAUCUCAUAUUAAGUUAUGAAUAUUUAUUAAAUUUUGCACACUCGCCACAUGGAGGGGCAGAGGGGGGAAGAUCAGCGAGGUUGGAGCUACACUGUAAAUAGGGAAUUAAUGCUGAUGUUGUAAAUCCCCCACAUUCUAUAAGGUUCAAAAAGGAUUUUUUCAUAUACAGUAUUUAAAGUCAGUGGGACACAACUUGUGAGGCACUGUGUAAAUCACCGCGGUGAAUGAGGUGUGUGGGCUGAUUAAACGUGGUAUCCAUUGUAAGUCGCUUGAAAAGUGUCUGCUAAUUGAAACUUGCAGGAUGUGACAACCAUUAGCGGCAGUGAAUCUGAGGAUUACAGCCUGAAGUGGGAGCUGCUGAUGGGUAUCUUUGAGAUGGGGUCGGAGAAGCCCUCCCCCAUCCAGGUCGGUGCUGCUGUCUCGAAACGGUUUACUGCAGCCUCUUGUCUUAAAACGGAUACUGUUCAAGUGCCAUCACUUGUGCCCCUCUGACCCAGUGUUGGAACCGAUUCCUUCAUGACUGGAGCUAAAUCCUACAUACCCUGUCGAUCCCCCCCCCCUUCAUGGUGCAAUUUUCUGACUGCGGCUCUGUUGGGGACCACUUUUCCUGUUGUUCACAUGAGCUGAACAUGUUUGUUAUGUAACGCCUGGGUUAUUUUCAAAAUACAGUUGUAUUUUCUUUGGUUUCCUUCCUUUUGCUUUCCAACAGCUGUAGUCAUUGUGCCAACCGGAGAACUGGCCCUUCAGUGCACGUCCUCAUCGCCGUGCCUGGAAAGAUACUGGAUCUCAUCAAGAAGGGAGUGGCCAAAGCUGACCAAGUGAAGAUGAUUGUAUUCGAUGAGACAGGCACAUACGCUGUUGUUGCAGGAUUUAGUGCAGAUGGUACAGGAAAUCCUCAGCACCUUACCCACUGACAGGCAGAUCAUGCUUUACUCUGCCACCUUCCCACUCAGCGUGCAGAAGUUCUCGAGCGCUCAUCUGCAGAAGCCCUUUCAAGUGAGCCUGAUGGAGGACCUCCCACUGAAGGGCUUUACAUAGUGCUAUGCCUAUGUGAUUGAGAGGCAGAAGGUCCACUGUCUUAACAAUCUCCUC